UACAGAGGGGGCGAGCGUUGUUCGGAAUUACUGGGCGUAAAGGGCGCGUAGGCGGCCAACUAAGUCAGACGUGAAAUCCCUCGGCUCAACCGGGGAACUGCGUCUGAUACUGGAUGGCUUGAAUUCGGGAGAGGGAUGCGGAAUUCCAGGUGUAGCGGUGAAAUGCGUAGAUAUUGGGAGGAACACCAGUGGCGAAGGCGGCUCACUGGACCGGAACUGACGCUGAGGCGCGAAAGCGUGGGGAGCAAACAGG
RNAcentral lists this ribosomal RNA (253 nucleotides) under uncultured bacterium. RNAcentral's name for it is "partial 16S ribosomal RNA". It matches the Rfam family "Bacterial small subunit ribosomal RNA", at positions 524 to 776 of the family's 1533-position model. The record is from RNAcentral.